GAUGAACGCUGGCGGCGUGCCUAAUACAUGCAAGUCGAACGAGUUCUGAUUAUUGAAAGGUGCUUGCAUCUUGAUUUAAUUUUGAACGAGUGGCGGACGGGUGAGUAACACGUGGGUAACCUGCCCUUAAGUGGGGGAUAACAUUUGGAAACAGAUGCUAAUACCGCAUAAAUCCAAGAACCGCAUGGUUCUUGGCUGAAAGAUGGCGUAAGCUAUCGCUUUUGGAUGGACCCGCGGCGUAUUAGCUAGUUGGUGAGGUAACGGCUCACCAAGGCAAUGAUACGUAGCCGAACUGAGAGGUUGAUCGGCCACAUUGGGACUGAGACACGGCCCAAACUCCUACGGGAGGCAGCAGUAGGGAAUCUUCCACAAUGGACGCAAGUCUGAUGGAGCAACGCCGCGUGAGUGAAGAAGGCUUUCGGGUCGUAAAACUCUGUUGUUGGAGAAGAAUGGUCGGCAGAGUAACUGUUGUUGGCGUGACGGUAUCCAACCAGAAAGCCACGGCUAACUACGUGCCAGCAGCCGCGGUAAUACGUAGGUGGCAAGCGUUAUCCGGAUUUAUUGGGCGUAAAGCGAGCGCAGGCGGUUUUUUAAGUCUGAUGUGAAAGCCCUCGGCUUAACCGAGGAAGUGCAUCGGAAACUGGGAAACUUGAGUGCAGAAGAGGACAGUGGAACUCCAUGUGUAGCGGUGAAAUGCGUAGAUAUAUGGAAGAACACCAGUGGCGAAGGCGGCUGUCUGGUCUGUAACUGACGCUGAGGCUCGAAAGCAUGGGUAGCGAACAGG
This 784-nucleotide ribosomal RNA is filed under the name Lacticaseibacillus zeae. Its description in RNAcentral is "bacterial SSU rRNA". It matches the Rfam family "Bacterial small subunit ribosomal RNA", at positions 28 to 776 of the family's 1533-position model. Lineage: Bacteria; Bacillati; Bacillota; Bacilli; Lactobacillales; Lactobacillaceae. The record is from RNAcentral.